CCCUUCAGCUCGGGAUAACGCCUUGAAAGGGGCGCUAAUACCGGAUGCGACGCGAGGAGCCUCGGCGCUUCGACGGGAAAGAUUCGCAAGGAUCACUGAAGGACGAGCCUGCGGCCCAUCAGCUAGUUGGUGAGGUAAGAGCUCACCAAGGCGAAGACGGGUAGCUGGUCUGAGAGGAUGAUCAGCCACACUGGAACUGAGACACGGUCCAGACUCCUACGGGAGGCAGCAGUGGGGAAUAUUGCGCAAUGGGCGAAAGCCUGACGCAGCCACGCCGCGUGAGCGAUGAAGGCCUUCGGGUCGUAAAGCUCUGUGGGGAGAGAAGAAUAAAGCCUGUGAAGAAUGGGCCUUGACGGUAUCUCCUUAGCAAGCACCGGCUAACUCCGUG
RNAcentral lists this ribosomal RNA (388 nucleotides) under uncultured bacterium. Its description in RNAcentral is "bacterial SSU rRNA". It matches the Rfam family "Bacterial small subunit ribosomal RNA", at positions 129 to 507 of the family's 1533-position model. The record is from RNAcentral.